AACGAACGCUGGCGGCAGGCUUAACACAUGCAAGUCGAACACCUGUAGCAAUACAGGAGUGGCAGACGGGUGAGUAACACGUGGGAACGUGCCCAAAGGUACGGAACAACUCCGGGAAACUGGAACUAAUACCGUAUGUGCCCGAAAGGGGAAAGAUUUAUCGCCUUUGGAUCGGCCCGCGUCUGAUUAGCUAGUUGGUGGGGUAAUGGCCUACCAAGGCGACGAUCAGUAGCUGGUCUGAGAGGAUGGCCAGCCACACUGGGACUGAGACACGGCCCAGACUCCUACGGGAGGCAGCAGUGGGGAAUAUUGGACAAUGGGCGCAAGCCUGAUCCAGCCAUGCCGCGUGAGUGAUGAAGGCCUUAGGGUUGUAAAGCUCUUUCGCCAGGGACGAUAAUGACGGUACCUGGAUAAGAAGCCCCGGCUAACUUCGUGCCAGCCGCCGCGGUAA
This 451-nucleotide ribosomal RNA is filed under the name uncultured bacterium. Its description in RNAcentral is "partial 16S ribosomal RNA". It matches the Rfam family "Bacterial small subunit ribosomal RNA", at positions 29 to 523 of the family's 1533-position model. The record is from RNAcentral.